Onychostoma macrolepis is the source of this 503-nucleotide long non-coding RNA. RefSeq lists it as uncharacterized. The transcript has 3 exons. The record is from RefSeq and is a predicted model, not a curated record. NCBI's taxonomy places the organism in Eukaryota, Metazoa, Chordata, Actinopteri, Cypriniformes, Cyprinidae.
GUGAAUAUAAGUCUUAAAUUUAAACAGUAUUAUAUAGAGUGAUAGUGUCUCUAUAGGGUGCUUGGAGGAAACCACGCAAUUCGUAUGGAUUACUUUGGCGAUGUUUUUUUGCGAUGAACUUUUUGAAACGUGAACAUAUUUGAUGAAUCUUUUCAUCGGAGGGACAUAAAUCUCUCCGAUUUCAUUAAAAUAUCUCCGCUUUUCGUUCGAAGAUGAACGAAAGUCUUAGAUGUUUUGGAGCAUCUUAAGGCGUCUGCAAGCGUGUAUGGCUUCUGGCUUUGGUACCUCACUGUGACUUCAGAUAAGAACAAAGAUCAAAUUGUAAGAAGGGUUGCUUAUAAGAGCAUACAGUACAUCUGAAACUGCUGAGGCUGGUAAGGUUUUUGACUAUAUUUCCGACCAGGUACAUUGUUCUGUCAUUCUUAAAUAGAAAACAAAUCACCAAUCAUCAUUUGCCUUUUUUUGUGCAUGUGAGAAAUAUUAACAUUUGUUGUUUUUCAGAU